UAAGGGGUAUAUAUAGGUAGCAGCCAAAAUCCAACCGUUACACACAAAAUUGCAAACUCGAUGACACCGAAGUGGACAACUCGGUGGUAUCGAUUAGUACUAAAAGUGUGAACUUUGAAUCUCGGUGAGACCGAUAUAUAGAACUCGGUGGCACCGAAAAGGUGACUAACGGUCAUAUGACCAAACUCGGUGGCACCGAUACUCAAACUCGGAAAUUACGAUUUUGUGUAUCUUGGCAACAGAAUGUUGGUCACACUGAACUCGGUAGCACUGAUGCAGUUUUGGUUGCACCGAUUUGGUGGGAAUGGCUAGGGUUCUUUCUCAGGUUCAAACUCAGUGGGUCCAAAGUGGCAAUGUUGGUUACACCGAAUUUGUGUAUGAGGAACUUGACAGAGUGGAUAUGUGGGGGAAAUGACUGAGUGUUUUGGUGGCUAACUUUGAGCAUUUGAGCAACCAGUUCAUUUUACUACCUCACCCCCUUUUAAUAGUAUUGGCUUUCCUAUGGACUCAAAAGUGAUUUCUCACAAAUAUAAAAUAAAGUGACUUCUAGCUUGAAGCUUGAGCCAAUAUUAUUCCGUUCUUGCAUCUGGGGGUAUCUCCACAUAAAUCUUGAGCCAUAUCAUAUUUUGAACUUUUCUGAAAUACACUUGGAAAACACAUUAGUCCAAUGAUGCAUAUGUUGUGAUCAAUUAUCAAAACCACCCUAGGGAGAAAUUGUGCUUUCAAUCUCCCCAUUUUUGGUAAUUGAUGACAACAUAUAGAUCAAAGCUUCGACAAAAGAAAUAAUCAAUGAUUAGCAUCGACGCUUUGAGAAGUAUGUGAAAAACAAGAGCUCCCC
RNAcentral lists this long non-coding RNA (838 nucleotides) under Hordeum vulgare. Its description in RNAcentral is "long non-coding RNA (HVUL_LNC007136)". The record is from RNAcentral. Lineage: Eukaryota; Viridiplantae; Streptophyta; Magnoliopsida; Poales; Poaceae.